RNAcentral lists this ribosomal RNA (521 nucleotides) under Actinobacteria bacterium HGW-Actinobacteria-7. Its description in RNAcentral is "bacterial LSU rRNA". It matches the Rfam family "Bacterial large subunit ribosomal RNA", at positions 2409 to 2925 of the family's 2925-position model. Lineage: Bacteria; Bacillati; Actinomycetota. The record is from RNAcentral.
GCUCUAGUGAUCCGGCGGCUCAGAGUGGAAUGGCCGUCGCUCAACGGAUAAAAGGUACUCCGGGGAUAACAGGCUGAUCCUCCCCAAGAGUCCACAUCGACGGGAGGGUUUGGCACCUCGAUGUCGGCUCAUCGCAUCCUGGGGCUGGAGUAGGUCCCAAGGGUAUGGCUGUUCGCCAUUUAAAGCGGUACGCGAGCUGGGUUUAGAACGUCGUGAGACAGUUCGGUCCCUAUCCUCCGUGGGCGUAAGAGACUUGAGGAAGGCUGCUCCUAGUACGAGAGGACCGGAGCGGACGAACCUCUGGUGUACCAGUUGUCGACCAACGGCACCGCUGGUUAGCUACGUUCGGUCGGGAUAACCGCUGAAAGCAUCUAAGCGGGAAGCCCAUUCCAAGAUGAGGUCUCUCACUGGGUUAACCAGGUAAGGCCCGUCGUAGACUACGACGUUGAUAGGCCGCAGGUGUAAGUGCAGCAAUGCAUUCAGCCGAGCGGUACUAAUAGGCCGAGGUCUUGAUCUCAUUC